This 444-nucleotide long non-coding RNA is filed under the name Fukomys damarensis (Damara mole-rat). Its description in RNAcentral is "lncRNA (ENSFDAG00000026249.1)". The record is from RNAcentral. Lineage: Eukaryota; Metazoa; Chordata; Mammalia; Rodentia; Bathyergidae.
GUCAAAUUAACUUUUCAUAUAUUCAUAGAAUUACAGACAUUGAAAACAGCUUUGAGAUGUUUCCUCUCAGAAACCAGCUUUCAUAGAGGAGGAACUUGGAGUGAGAAUUGGUUCCUCGCUUCUCCAUAGGCAGAGGGCCCAAAGACCAGCUGAAGCCCCAGGCAUGGAGACCUCUUCUCUUUCCUUUGAGUAGAGACGACAGACUGCAGUCUCUAGAUCCUGUACCAUGUGACUUCUGGCUCUUCUGUGAAGUGAAAAUGACAACGAAAGUAACCAUCUUGGAUACAUUCGGGACAUUGAGUCUGUCACAGCAGGGCAGCGAGGGCUACUCACGAAAGAGGACUUUGAGAACUACUUCUGGAAGUGGCCAGGAUGAUGCGGAUAUGGGUGGGUGAAGUGAAGGGGAGGAUCUGAGGGGGACUGAUGACAACGUGUGUUUCACUG